RNAcentral lists this ribosomal RNA (245 nucleotides) under uncultured bacterium. RNAcentral's name for it is "partial small subunit ribosomal RNA". It matches the Rfam family "Bacterial small subunit ribosomal RNA", at positions 26 to 285 of the family's 1533-position model. The record is from RNAcentral.
AGAAUCAACGCUGGCGGCGUGCCUAACACAUGCAAGUCGAACGAGAAAGUGGAGCAAUCCAUGAGUAAAGUGGCGCACGGGUGAGUAACACGUGACUAACCUACCUUUUAGUGGGGGAUAACCUAGGGAAACCUGGGCUAAUACCGCAUAACACUUACGAGUCAAAGCAGCAAUGCGCUGAAAGAGGGGGUCGCGGCCGAUUAGCUAGUUGGCGGGGUAAUGGCCCACCAAGGCAGUGAUCGGUA